AUCUUAUCCUUCUUAAUCCCCGAUUGAGACCUUGUGCUGCAGGAGCGUGGUGGUGUGCAAAAGCAUUGUUUCAGAGGAUGCAGACGUGUUAAUAAAAGGUUCUGUGGUUUUUUUGGGGUCCAGGCACAGGUUGCUCUGGGGCUCCCAGGCAUCUCUGCAAUCAAGGAAAUCAGUGCCAAUUGUCGCAUCAGCAUGUCGAGCUCUGCAGGUGCCAGCACACUGGAACACAUGCUUGGGUUGGCGGGUGGUUGGAGGAGUGAGCUGUGCUUUUUCAUCCCCACAUCCCCAGCGCCCAGCAUGGAGAAGGGAUGUGAUCAAUAUCUGUUGGAAAUGGAACAAGCCUCAGGAUAAACAGCCCCAUCCUGGGAUGCGCCAUACAGUGGUCAUUGUUCUAAAGGCUCGAUCGGGGAAACUGAGUUUCAAAAGGCCUAAGUCGCGGACCCAGCUGGUCUCUAUCAGGAGCGGCCAGGCGGCUGGGGCAGGUGCUGCUGCUCCCUCCAUCCUCAUUGCAGGGAGUAGGUCAGAGGCGUUGGACCAACCUCGUUGGGGACUGGGGCUCAUAGCUUGUCUUGCUGGCAAGUGGGCUUGAGAGGAGGGAUGUGAAGGGGACAGUGCAGCAUUUUGCUCAGAGCUGGGUGCCCUGCCCAGCCCCACCAGGCCCUGGAGUCACUAUUGGCAGACAGAAGGGACCAUGGCUAUUUAAACUCUAUGCUCAUCCCGGCCCAAACGAUGCUGCACUGAUGCUCAGGUAAAGGGUUGGCUAAGAAGGGGGACAGGCCACCCACAGUGCCACAUGGUGUGGCUUGGACGCACCUGUCAU
This 820-nucleotide long non-coding RNA is filed under the name Rhinopithecus bieti (black snub-nosed monkey). RNAcentral's name for it is "lncRNA (ENSRBIG00000045957.1)". Lineage: Eukaryota; Metazoa; Chordata; Mammalia; Primates; Cercopithecidae. The record is from RNAcentral.